Molecule: ribosomal RNA, 415 nt
Filed under: uncultured bacterium
Lineage: Bacteria
Description: bacterial SSU rRNA
Rfam family: Bacterial small subunit ribosomal RNA
Source: RNAcentral
AACGAACGCUGGCGGCAUGCCUAACACAUGCAAGUCGAACGAGACCUUCGGGUCUAGUGGCGCACGGGUGCGUAACGCGUGGGAAUCUGCCCUUCGGUUCGGAACAACAGUUAGAAAUGACUGCUAAUACCGGAUAAUGACGUAAGUCCAAAGAUUUAUCGCCGAAGGAUGAGCCCGCGUAAGAUUAGGUAGUUGGUGGGGUAAUGGCCUACCAAGCCGACGAUCUUUAGCUGGUCUGAGAGGAUGAUCAGCCACACUGGGACUGAGACACGGCCCAGACUCCUACGGGAGGCAGCAGUGGGGAAUAUUGGACAAUGGGCGAAAGCCUGAUCCAGCAAUGCCGCGUGAGUGAUGAAGGCCUUAGGGUUGUAAAAGCUCUUUUACCUAGGGAUGAUAAUGACAGUACCUGGAGAAU